Artibeus jamaicensis (Jamaican fruit-eating bat) is the source of this 614-nucleotide long non-coding RNA. RefSeq lists it as uncharacterized. The transcript is spliced from 6 exons. The record is from RefSeq and is a predicted model, not a curated record. Lineage: Eukaryota; Metazoa; Chordata; Mammalia; Chiroptera; Phyllostomidae.
CUUUUUUUCACUCAGCAUAAUAAUCUCCAGGUCUAACCAUGCUGUUGCAAAGGAUACCAUUCUGCAUGGCGUGGGCCCAGACCCCAGUGAGUGGCAAACAUUUACUGCAAGGAAUCCACACUUUUAAUGAAACUGCCUUUGAUGUCUUCCAGGGAGUUUUCCCUAAUUCCCUCCAGGGUGGGGAGAAAAUGAGGCUUCGUGAGAAGGCAGGAAGGAAGGCGUCUCCAUGUCACCGCUAGCCCCUCAUCAUUGCACUCAGAUACUUGUAAAAGAGCCUUGAGGAGAAAUUCAUCUUGAGUUACAGAAGAUCAAAGGCUCUGCGGAUUUAUCCUGGAGGAGGCAGGAUCCAAGAUGGCAGAGGAGUAAGUGGAAGCUACACUAUGCUAUCCUUUUCCCAGGACCAACCUGGAAUUACAACUAAAUUGUAGAGAAACCAUCCUGAAUAACUAACUGAACACUAGCUGGCGAGAAGCCUUAUAACAACGGACAGACAGAAGAAACCACUUCACCACAGCGUGACUGGCUGCCAUCACCAGACGGGGACACCAUGUGACAUCACCAGGUGUGGAUCCAGAAAGAGAAGAAAGUGGUAAACACUAGAUUAUACUGAGAUG